CCAGCAGCAGGGCCUGAUUUGCUUCCCAACAGCAAGCAGUCUCACCGAAGAGCAGCAAGAGAGGUCUCUCCAAGCCUUACGGAUAAAAAGCUUUCUUCGGGUUAAAACCGUAGGGCUCGAGACAAGCACUGCAAGAAUUUAUGAAACCAUGACUGCCAACACUCAAAACCAUCCAAACCAACCAACCAACCUCUGCAUUGUAUUAAAUGACCGAUGUCUUUUCAAA
Long non-coding RNA from Hyaena hyaena (striped hyena), 226 nucleotides. RefSeq lists it as uncharacterized. NCBI's taxonomy places the organism in Eukaryota, Metazoa, Chordata, Mammalia, Carnivora, Hyaenidae. The record is from RefSeq and is a predicted model, not a curated record. The transcript is spliced from 2 exons.